GACGAACGCUGGCGGCGUGCUUAACACAUGCAAGUCGAGCGGAAAGGCCCUUCGGGGUACUCGAGCGGCGAACGGGUGAGUAACACGUGAGUAAUCUGCCCUUGGCUUUGGGAUAACUACCGGAAACGGUGGCUAAUACCGGAUACGACAGCCGUCUGCAUGGGCUGGUUGUGGAAAGUUUUUUCGGCCAGGGAUGUGCUCGCGGCCUAUCAGCUUGUUGGUGGGGUAAUGGCCUACCAAGGCUUCGACGGGUAGCCGGCCUGAGAGGGUGACCGGCCACACUGGGACUGAGACACGGCCCAGACUCCUACGGGAGGCAGCAGUGGGGAAUAUUGGACAAUGGGCGGAAGCCUGAUCCAGCAACGCCGCGUGAGGGAUGACGGCCUUCGGGUUGUAAACCUCUUUCAGUACCGACGAAGCGCCGAUGAUGGUGGUGACGGUAGGUACAGAAGAAGCACCGGCCAACUACGUG
This 472-nucleotide ribosomal RNA is filed under the name uncultured bacterium. RNAcentral's name for it is "partial 16S ribosomal RNA". It matches the Rfam family "Bacterial small subunit ribosomal RNA", at positions 28 to 507 of the family's 1533-position model. The record is from RNAcentral.